GUAAAUAUAGUUUAAGAAAAACACUAGAUUGUGAGUCUAGCAAUAAGAGACCAAAACUCUUUAUUUACU
Transfer RNA from Camelus ferus (Wild Bactrian camel), 69 nucleotides. It matches the Rfam family "tRNA". From Rfam's summary of the family: Transfer RNA (tRNA) molecules are approximately 80 nucleotides in length. NCBI's taxonomy places the organism in Eukaryota, Metazoa, Chordata, Mammalia, Artiodactyla, Camelidae. The record is from Rfam.